RNAcentral lists this ribosomal RNA (494 nucleotides) under uncultured bacterium. RNAcentral describes it as "partial 16S ribosomal RNA". It matches the Rfam family "Bacterial small subunit ribosomal RNA", at positions 28 to 507 of the family's 1533-position model. The record is from RNAcentral.
GACGAACGCUGGCGGCGUGCUUAACACAUGCAAGUCGAACGGUGAAGCGCCUUCCUUUUUGGUGGGUGUGGAUGAGUGGUGAACGGGUGAGUAACACGUGAGUAACCUGCCCCCUUCUUCUGGAUAACCGCAUGAAAGUGUGGCUAAUACGGGAUAUUCUGGGUCUGUCGCAUGAUGGGUCUGGGAAAGAUAUUGUUUCGGUGGGGGAUGGGCUCGCGGCCUAUCAGCUUGUUGGUGGGGUGAUGGCCUACCAAGGCGGUGACGGGUAGCCGGCCUGAGAGGGUGGACGGUCACACUGGGACUGAGACACGGCCCAGACUCCUACGGGAGGCAGCAGUGGGGAAUAGUGCACAAUGGGCGCAAGCCUGAUGCAGCGACGCCGCGUGAGGGAUGGAGGCCUUCGGGUUGUGAACCUCUUUCGCCAGUGAAGCAGGCCUGCCUCGUUUGUGGGUGGGUUGACGGUAGCUGGAUAAGAAGCGCCGGCUAACUACGUG